AUGAAUGUUUUAAGCUGGAACUGUCGGGGAGGGGGGAAUCCCCGGACAGUUCGUGAGUUGGCGACAAUCACACAGUCGCAUUCCCCCAAUAUGGUGUUUUUGUGUGAGACGAGGCAAAAGGCUGAUAAGAUGAGGAGGAUCAAGGGUCGGCUAGGGUUGAAAGGUUUUACGGGAGUCGAUAGCAGUGGGAUGAGUGGUGGGCUGGCUUUGUUUUGGCAUGCGGCUUAUGAGGUGGAAAUACUGGAUAAAGAUGGACGUUAUAUUGAUGCCCUUGUGCGUGUUGUGGAGGGGGCAACUCAAUGGAGGAUUACGUGCGUAUAUGGAAUGCCCAUAGUUGAGAACCGGCAUUUUAUGUGGGAGAAGUUGCAGAGGUUGAAGAACACAUGUGAUGCUCCUUGGCUAGCGGUGGGCGAUUUCAAUGAGGCAAUGUGGAGCUAUGAACAUUUGUCAUCUACGCCAAGGGCUGAACCACAGAUGUUGGCCUUCCGGGAUACUUUGGAGAUGUGCGGUCUUGUAGAUUUGGGGUUUGUGGGUAUACCUUUCACAUAUGAUAACAAGAGGGGGGGGGAGCUGGCAAUGUCCAAGUUCGUUUGGACCGAGCUGUGGCAACGAACGAUUGGAGAAACUUGUUUGCCUUCACUUCGGUACUCCACGUGUCGUCGCCUUGUUCUGAUCAUGUAG
Molecule: ribosomal RNA, 681 nt
Filed under: Triticum aestivum (bread wheat)
Lineage: Eukaryota; Viridiplantae; Streptophyta; Magnoliopsida; Poales; Poaceae
Description: partial small subunit ribosomal RNA
Source: RNAcentral